RNAcentral lists this long non-coding RNA (4152 nucleotides) under Brassica napus (rape). Its description in RNAcentral is "long non-coding RNA (BNAP_LNC005668)". Lineage: Eukaryota; Viridiplantae; Streptophyta; Magnoliopsida; Brassicales; Brassicaceae. The record is from RNAcentral.
CGAUCGUUGAAUCUUGUCUUGAUGAGGAAGAUAAGAGAGAGAAGUGUGUGUCCCAGGAGAGAUUCUUGGAAGCAUUCAAGAGAGUCGUAGAGAGAGUGGCUCAACGUCUCAAUGAACAGCCCGUGAUCGUGGCCCACAGCGAAAACACCUUCGAUGGGAGCGGCAUCAGGAGGCUCCUGUCCAAUAAAUUCGAAUUCGACAAGGUAAACUUUCAUACAUAUAUAUGAACAAGAAGAGAAGUCUUGAAAUGAUGAUAUCACAAGCCAUAACCCGGAAUGUUUUGGUUGUACGUAGGCAUUAAACGUUGCGUUGGAGAUAAUCCCAAAAGACCGUCAUGGUAAGGUAUCCAAAGAGUAUCUACGAGCUGUGCUCGACACUGUUGCACCAUCUGCGACUUUACCACCAUUAGGUGCAGUGUCCCAGGUAAACAAUAUAUACCCCCUCCAAAUGUUUUGGACUUGUGGAUUGUUUUUGUGCGUGAACGUUCAUGUUUGCAUGUUAUGGGCUUCUAUUACUUUUUAAAUUGAAAUCACAACUAAUGUUUAAGUGAAUUUGUGUUACUGGUAGGAGAUGCUUUUUAUCAGUUAUUCUUUUAGUUGUAAUUGCGGGUCUUCUAGCGUGUAAAUCGUUCGGAUUCGGUUCGGGUCUAUUAGAGUUUCGGGUUUUCGGGAUCAAAGAUUUUAGCCCCAUUCGAAUAUUUCUAAGUUUCGGUUCGGCUUCGGUUCGGAUCUUUGCGGUUUCGGAUAACCUAUUAAAAUUAUUUUUAAAAUUUUAAAAUUCAUUAUAUACUUUAAAUUUUUCAAAAUCUAUAAACAAAAUAUUAUAUUACAUACAAAUUUGAAUAACAUAUGUCAAAAUUCCUAAACUUAACAUAUAAUUUGAUUUGGAUUGAAUAUUUGGAUAGAUAAUCAAUAAAUAUUUUAAAUAUUUUUGGUGUUUUGAGUAUAUUUUAGCUAUUUUAGACAUUUACUUUUGACUAUUAGUAUAUAUUUUCAAGUAUUUUGGACAAUUUAAAAAUCUUAUAUAUUUUGGAUGUUUUUAAUUAAUAGACAUUAAAUCUAAAAUAUAUUUAUAUAAGGGGUAUAGAAAUCAAUUUUGGACACAUUCGGGUACCCGGAAUACUUCAAUUCGGGUCGGGUUCGGUUCCGGUUCUUUAGAUACCAAAAUUUUGAACCCGUUAGGAUAUUUAAUCAAUUUCGGCUCGGGUCCAGUAUUACUUUUUUUGGGUCGGGUUCGAUUCGGUUCUUUCGGAUUUGGAUUUUUUGUACAGCCCUAUGUAAAUGCAUAGAUAAGUUAAAAUUUGUAACGAUAUAAUUAUGUUUAGUCUUGAGUGUUUUUAUUUCAGCGAAAUUGAUAAGAUAUUUUGUUGUGUGUUUUUGUUUGAAGAUGGAUGAUAUGAUAAGGGAAGCGCUGAAGAUGGUGAAUGGAGAUGAUGGAAAGAUGGUGAAGGAAGAGGAGUUUAAGAAAACAAUGGCGGAGAUAUUGGGAAGUAUAAUGUUGCAGCUUGAGGGUAGUCCCAUAUCGGUCUCCUCUAACUCAGUGGUUCACGAGCCGCUCACCUCCGCCACCUUCCUGCCGGCGCCUCCGGCUGAAGCAGAUGAGCCUUCUAAUUAACUAGAGUCGUUUUAAGUGGGGAGAAACAAGAACAAAAAUGGUUACGGUUAUGAGUUUUUACCCCCCUUUGAGUAUUUAAAUAUUUGAGGAAAACCAGCUUACUUUGGGAUGUGUAAGAAAAAAAAAAGCCUCUCUUCAUUUCUUUCGGAUGAUAAAAGAGAAAUGGGCGUUUUUAGUACUGAAUACAUUCAAAGAUUGUGGUUUCAUCGUAUGGGAGUGGUGAUUAUGCUCAUGUGGCUUUGUCUUUAUUUUCAUCAUGGAAUGCAAUGUUUUAGUAUGUUUUUUUUAAUUUUAUUUUCUGUCUUGAAUCAUGCAUCUUAAUUACGUUGACUCUGUCAUGGGUAGCGGGCAAUAAUCUUUUACUCUUGAGUUUUUAUAAUUACCAGACGACUUACACUUCAGUCGUCCAGACGACUUACACUUCAGUCGUCCAGACGACUUCCAACAUCUCAGACGACUCAGACGAUUUACUGGGGCUAUAUUCGUAAAAAUGGCUUCUGUUUUUUUGUUUGGUCACAAGGGGCUGAGCUGUAAUUUCACUAGGCUUUUAGGUUAGUUUUGCAUUUGAUUCAAAUUUGGGUAUAGGUUUGGAAUUAAAAUCAAGUUGUGGGUUAGUUUUGGCAAAAACCCCUUUCUUUAUUGUCUUGGAAUUGUCCUACUUAUUACGUAGACUAUUAUAUUACUGACAAAAAGUUUAAAUGGAAUCUCAGAAUUUUACUAUAGUUGUAUAAGUUAUCUUCUUGAUAUAUGUGUAGGGUUUGGUGGUUACAUUUUAUUUUAUUUUUGCGUUGAGUGAUAGGUGAAAAAAUAAAUUAAAGCAGAUGUUUUAAUAAUGGUAAAUAACUUUGGUCGGUGACCUUAUCCUAGAUCAUAUCUCAAGUUAGCCCCUCGUGUCGCUCUCUUCGCUGCCGUCUCAUGCUAGGAACAUCGCUUUUUGAAUCCUCACCUACUUAUUCUUAACUACUGUAUUAAACAUUAAUCAACUGGCUGUUAUAAUAUAUUGCGUAUUUGAUACGUCAUAUAGAAGCUUUCGUUCGUGUCACCAAUAUUUUUCGACUGACAUUUCGUAAAAAAAUUCAAAAAAAUUCAAAUACAGCUUUUUAAUAACGAAAACCCUAGUUUAUAUCAAUUUUCCCAUGUGUUCCAAAUAAUUCAAUAACACACAAGAAGAAAAAUACAGACCCUUGUUUUCUAUAGAUGUGUGAACCAAAACCAAAAAGAUAACUUCUAUUUACCGACAUGGAAUCUUGAACCUACAUUAAAUAUGGUAAACCUACCUCGUGUUUCGCAUGAAUCACGUUGAUUAAUCGAUUAGACCAAAGAGGACUUUGAAUAAAUACAUAAUUGUGUAGUUCGUAGUCAUUCACUAAUUAAGAUUCGCUUAUUGAAAAAACAUAUCCAAGUAAAACCAAAUUCGAAUCUUUCUCUCAUUGGAUUUAGAUCAAUACUCAAUUAUUUAUCGUUAGGUUUUGUUUUUGGUGUAUUUAAAGAGUAGACAACGAGAUCAAAGCAUUAAGCUUCUAUCUGUCUCGUCCGUACAUUUAUUUCAUCAUUUUGUAACGUUAUAAUAAACUAUUGUUCUACAGUUCUAGUCUAAGAUGCUUUAAUUGAUUUCCUUUUCUGCUUCAUUGCGAGAUCAAUACUCAAUUAUUUAUCGUUAGGUUUUGUUUUUGGUGUAUUUAAAGAGUAGACAACGAGAUCAAAGCAUUAAGCUUCUAUCUGUCUCGUCCGUACAUUUAUUUCAUCAUUUUGUAACGUUAUAAUAAACUAUUACAGGUCUUAAACGAAUUCACUCAUGGAAGUCAAGAGAAAGUGAGCAAGACAGAGUUCAAAGAAGUGUUGUCAGAUAUUUUGUUGGGCAUGGCUGCUGGUUUAAAACGCGACCCCAUCGUCAUCCUCAGGAUGGACGGUGAGGAUCUGUCGGAGUUUAUCCACAGCCCUGGAUACGAAGCUGAGAUCGUCUCCAUCUACUUCUCAGCGCUGUCUGGCUGCGAGGAAGCAUCGCUCCGUGAUUGCAUCGCCAAAGCUCUCCAGUCACUUUCUGUUGAUCAUGGAAUGCCUCCUUCUAACGAUCCAUGGGUACUUACUUUAGUUUAUAUAUAUUACUUAUUUUUUGAACUAAUUGUGGUUUUAACUUCGAUGUCAAAAAAAAAAAGAACUGUGGUUUAAACUCCUUUUUCAUAUACUUUUAAAUGUACAGCGUAUAUUUAGCAUAAAAAUACUUGAUUCACCCAAAAUCCUAAAUUAAAAUAUAAUAAGCAACGUAUAUUGAGACCAAUGAGCCUGUCUAAAAAGCUAAGUUAUUGUUUCAGGUAAUAAGCAACAUUGUCGAACCGAUCGUUGAAUCUUGUCUUGAUGAGGAAGAUAAGAGAGAGAAGUGUGUGUCCCAGGAGAGAUUCUUGGAAGCAUUCAAGAGAGUCGUAGAGAGAGUGGCUCAACGUCUCAAUGAACAGCCCGUGAUCGUGGCCCACAGCGAAAACACCUUCGAUGGGAGCGGCAUCAGGAGGCUCCUGUCCAAUAAAUUCGAAUUCGACAAGG